GGUUUGAUCCUGGCUCAGAUUGAACGCUGGCGGGAUGCUUACACAUGCAAGUCGAACGGCAGCACGGACUUCGGUCUGGUGGCGAGUGGCGAACGGGUGAGUAAUGGGAACGCCUAGUAGCGGGGAUAACUACGCGAAAGCGUAGCUAAUACCGCAUACGCCCUUCGGGGGAAAGCGGGGGACCUUCGGGCCUCGCACUAUUAGAGCGGCCGAUAUCGGAUUAGCUAGUUGCGGGGUAACGGCUCACCAAGGCGACGAUCCGUAGCUGGUUUGAGAGGACGACCAGCCACACUGGGACUGAGACACGGCCCAGACUCCUACGGGAGGCAGCAGUGGGGAAUUUGGACAAUGGGGGAAACCCCUGAUCCAGCCAUCCCGCGUGUGCGAUGAAGGCCUUCGGGUUGUAAAGCACUUUUGGCAGGAAAGAAACGGCACGGGAUAAUACCCCGUGCAACUGAUUUGGUACCUGCAGAAUAAGCACCGGCUAACUACGUGCCAGCAGCCGCGGUAAUACGUAGGGUGCAAGCGUUAAUCGGAAUUACCGGGCGUAAAGCGUGCGCAGGCGGUUCGGAAAGAAAGAUGUGAAAUCCCAGAGCUUAACUUUGGAACUGCAUUUUUAACUACCGAGCUAGAGUGUGUCAGAGGGAGGUGGAAUUCGCGUAGCAGUGAAAUGCGUAGAUAUGCGGAGGAACACCGAUGGCGAAGGCAGCCUCCCGGGAUAACACUGACGCUCAUGCACGAAAGCGUGGGGAGCAAACAGGAUUAGAUACCCCUGGUAGUCCACGCCCUAAACGAUGUCAACCAGCUGUUGGGGCCUUCGGGCCUUGGUAGCGCAGCUAACGCGUGAAGUUGACCGCCUGGGGAGUACGGUCGCAAGAUUAAAACUCAAAGGAAUUGACGGGGACCUGCACAAGCGGUGGAUGAUGUGGAUUAUCUGAUGCAACGCGAAAAACCUUACCUACCCUUGACAUGUCUGGAAUCCCGAAGAGAUUUGGGGAGUGCUCGCAAGAGAACCGGAACACAGGUGCUGCAUGGCUGUCGUCAGCUCGUGUCGUGAGAUGUUGGGUUGUCCCGCAACGAGCGCAACCUCCUUGUCAUUAGUUGCUACGAAAGGGCACUCUAAUGAGACUGCCGGUGACAAACCGGAGGAAGGUGGGGAUGACGUCAAGUCCUCAUGGCCCUUAUGGGUAGGGCUUCACACGUCAUACAAUGGUCGGGACAGAGGGUCGCCAACCCGCGAGGGGGAGCCAAUCCCAGAAACCUCGAUCGCAUCCGGAUCGCAGUCUGCAACUCGACUGCGUGAAGCCGGAAUCGCUAGUAAUCGCGGAUCAGCAUGUCGCGGUGAAUACGUUCCCGGGUCUUGUACACACUGCCCGUCACACCAUGGGAGUGGGUUUUCACUUCAGAAGUAGUUAGCCUAACCGUGAGGAGGGCGUGAUUACCACGGUAGGAUUCAUGACUGGGGUGAAGUCGUAACAAGGUAG
This 1484-nucleotide ribosomal RNA is filed under the name uncultured Bordetella sp. RNAcentral's name for it is "partial 16S-23S ribosomal RNA intergenic spacer". It matches the Rfam family "Bacterial small subunit ribosomal RNA". Lineage: Bacteria; Pseudomonadati; Pseudomonadota; Betaproteobacteria; Burkholderiales; Alcaligenaceae. The record is from RNAcentral.